This 28-nucleotide non-coding RNA is filed under the name Rattus norvegicus (Norway rat). The record is from RNAcentral. Lineage: Eukaryota; Metazoa; Chordata; Mammalia; Rodentia; Muridae.
GAUGUAAAUGUGUAUGUGAUUCACGAUG